ACGGGUCAAUGCAAGGUUGCUCAAUGUCAGAGAAUCAGAUGGACUUUGAGUUCAAACGCGAAGACCGAGGGUUUUGCGGCGCUCACCUCGUCGCUUCCUCCGACGGUGGGCGACGACGGCGGAGAAGGCGAUAUUGAGGCCCACGGCAACGAGCGCUGCCGCACCGGCGAUGGCGAUGACCCUGCGCUCUCGUCUUCUGGGCUCCAUCCCGGAGCCCCGAUGGGUUCUAGAAGGUUCUGGAGAAGGGGCCGGCCGCGGGCGGCGAGGAGAGAAGAAGGUUUCCUAGUGGCGGUGUGGGCGGCGAGACUUGUCUCGAACGGUAGCAGCGCCUGAGCCAGCGACUUCGCGAGCGGAGGUCACGACUCACGAAGAUAUGCGAGAUCUGGCCGGUAGUUUCCGCGUGGACGGCUGGAUUUUGAGGGAACACGCGUAGCCGUUUUAUGAAAAUCCACGUCAUUUCCCUUUCAGGCCUUUUCAUUUUAUCCCCAAUCACAAAAUCCUCUCAAUCCGAUGGAAUGAGCAAGACCUCACCAAAAACUAAUCCAUUCAAAGA
RNAcentral lists this unclassified non-coding RNA (553 nucleotides) under Zea mays. RNAcentral describes it as "misc RNA Zm00001eb144380". The record is from RNAcentral. Lineage: Eukaryota; Viridiplantae; Streptophyta; Magnoliopsida; Poales; Poaceae.